AGUGAACGCUGGCGGUAGGCCUAACACAUGCAAGUCGAACGGCAGCACAGUAAGAGCUUGCUCUUACGGGUGGCGAGUGGCGGACGGGUGAGGAAUACAUCGGAAUCUACUUUUUCGCGGGGGAUAACGUAGGGAAACUUACGCUAAUACCGCAUACGACCUACGGGUGAAAGCAGUGGAUCUUCGGACCUUGCGCGAUUGAUUGAGCCGAUGUCGGAUUAGCUAGUUGGCGGGGUAAAGGCCCACCAAGGCAACGAUCCGUAGCUGGUCUGAGAGGAUGAUCAGCCACACUGGAACUGAGACACGGUCCAGACUCCUACGGGAGGCAGCAGUGGGGAAUAUUGGACAAUGGGCGCAAGCCUGAUCCAGCCAUACCGCGUGGGUGAAGAAGGCCUUCGGGUUGUAAAGCCCUUUUGUUGGGAAAGAAAAGCAGCAGGUUAAUACCCCGCUGUUCUGACGGUACCCAAAGAAUAAGCACCGGCUAACUUCGUG
Molecule: ribosomal RNA, 492 nt
Filed under: uncultured bacterium
Lineage: Bacteria
Description: partial 16S ribosomal RNA
Rfam family: Bacterial small subunit ribosomal RNA
Source: RNAcentral